AACGAACGCUGGCGGCAGGCCUAACACAUGCAAGUCGAGCGCCCCGCAAGGGGAGCGGCGGACGGGUGAGUAACGCGUGGGAACGUACCCUUUGCUACGGAAUAGCCUCGGGAAACUGGGAGUAAUACCGUAUGUGCCCUUGGGGAAGAUUUAUCGGCAAAGGAUCGGCCCGCGUUGGAUUAGGUAGUUGGUGGGGUAAUGGCCUACCAAGCCGACGAUCCAUAGCUGGUUUGAGAGGAUGAUCAGCCACACUGGGACUGAGACAUGGCCCAGACUCCUACGGGAGGCAGCAGUGGGGAAUCUUAGACAAUGGGCGCAAGCCUGAUCUAGCCAUGCCGCGUGAGCGAUGAAGGCCUUAGGGUUGUAAAGCUCUUUCAGUGGGGAGAUAAUGACUGUACCCACAGAAGAAGACCCGGCUAACUCCGUG
Molecule: ribosomal RNA, 427 nt
Filed under: uncultured bacterium
Lineage: Bacteria
Description: bacterial SSU rRNA
Rfam family: Bacterial small subunit ribosomal RNA
Source: RNAcentral